RNAcentral lists this ribosomal RNA (435 nucleotides) under Triticum aestivum (bread wheat). RNAcentral's name for it is "partial small subunit ribosomal RNA". The record is from RNAcentral. Lineage: Eukaryota; Viridiplantae; Streptophyta; Magnoliopsida; Poales; Poaceae.
AUGCAGGAAGAGUUCGACGCUCUCCAACGGAACCGCACCUGGACUCUGGUUCCCCGGCCUCCUCGCGCCAACAUCAUCACCGGCAAGUGGGUCUUCCGUCAUAAGACCCGCUCAGACGGUUCACUUGAGCGCUACAAGGCUCGCUGGGUGGUCCGCGGUUUCCGCCAGCGCGCUGGAGUUGAUUUCACGGAGACGUUCGCCCCGGUUGUCAAACCGGGCACGAUCCGCACUGUCCUCCAGCUCGCCGUUUCUCGCGGCUGGCCCGUUCACCAGAUGGAUGUCUCCAACGCCUUCCUCCACGGCCAUCUUGAGGAGCAGGUGUUUUGUGAGCAACCCACCGGUUUCGUCGACGCCUCAUUCCCCGGCCAUGUGUGCCUGCUGUCGCGCUCUCUUUACAGGCUCAAGCAGGCACCCCGCGCCUGGUACCAGCGGAUC